RNAcentral lists this ribosomal RNA (1849 nucleotides) under Vibrio cholerae. Its description in RNAcentral is "bacterial LSU rRNA". It matches the Rfam family "Bacterial large subunit ribosomal RNA", at positions 1 to 1885 of the family's 2925-position model. The record is from RNAcentral. Lineage: Bacteria; Pseudomonadati; Pseudomonadota; Gammaproteobacteria; Vibrionales; Vibrionaceae.
GUUGUAUGGUUAAGUGACUAAGCGUACACGGUGGAUGCCUGGGCAGUCAGAGGCGAUGAAGGACGUACUAACUUGCGAUAAGCGCAGAUAAGGCAGUAAGAGCCGUUUGAGUCUGCGAUUUCCGAAUGGGGAAACCCAACUGCAUAAGCAGUUACUGUUAACUGAAUACAUAGGUUAACAGAGCAAACCGGGGGAACUGAAACAUCUAAGUACCCCGAGGAGAAGAAAUCAACCGAGAUUCCGGUAGUAGCGGCGAGCGAACCUGGAUUAGCCCUUAAGCACUCGGUGAAGUAGGUGAACAAGCUGGAAAGCUUGGCGAUACAGGGUGAUAGCCCCGUAACCGACGCUUCAUCGAGCGUGAAAUCGAGUAGGGCGGGACACGUGAUAUCCUGUCUGAAUAUGGGGGGACCAUCCUCCAAGGCUAAAUACUCCUGACUGACCGAUAGUGAACCAGUACCGUGAGGGAAAGGCGAAAAGAACCCCUGUGAGGGGAGUGAAAUAGAACCUGAAACCGUGUACGUACAAGCAGUAGGAGCACCUUCGUGGUGUGACUGCGUACCUUUUGUAUAAUGGGUCAGCGACUUAUAUUCAGUGGCAAGGUUAACCGUAUAGGGGAGCCGUAGCGAAAGCGAGUCUUAACUGGGCGCUCAGUCUCUGGAUAUAGACCCGAAACCGGGUGAUCUAGCCAUGGGCAGGUUGAAGGUUGAGUAACAUCAACUGGAGGACCGAACCGACUAAUGUUGAAAAAUUAGCGGAUGACUUGUGGCUAGGGGUGAAAGGCCAAUCAAACUCGGAGAUAGCUGGUUCUCCCCGAAAGCUAUUUAGGUAGCGCCUCGGACGAAUACUACUGGGGGUAGAGCACUGUUAAGGCUAGGGGGUCAUCCCGACUUACCAACCCUUUGCAAACUCCGAAUACCAGUAAGUACUAUCCGGGAGACACACGGCGGGUGCUAACGUCCGUCGUGGAGAGGGAAACAACCCAGACCGCCAGCUAAGGUCCCAAAGUAUUGCUAAGUGGGAAACGAUGUGGGAAGGCUCAGACAGCUAGGAUGUUGGCUUAGAAGCAGCCAUCAUUUAAAGAAAGCGUAAUAGCUCACUAGUCGAGUCGGCCUGCGCGGAAGAUGUAACGGGGCUAAGCAAUACACCGAAGCUGCGGCAAUGUCUUUUAGACAUUGGGUAGGGGAGCGUUCUGUAAGCCGUUGAAGGUGAAUCGUAAGGUUUGCUGGAGGUAUCAGAAGUGCGAAUGCUGACAUGAGUAACGACAAAGGGGGUGAAAAACCUCCUCGCCGGAAGACCAAGGGUUCCUGUCCAACGUUAAUCGGGGCAGGGUGAGUCGACCCCUAAGGUGAGGCCGAAAGGCGUAAUCGAUGGGAAACGGGUUAAUAUUCCCGUACUUCUGACUAUUGCGAUGGGGGGACGGAGAAGGCUAGGUGGGCCAGGCGACGGUUGUCCUGGUUCAAGUGCGUAGGCUUGAGAGUUAGGUAAAUCCGGCUCUCUCUAAGGCUGAGACACGACGUCGAGCUACUACGGUAGUGAAGUCAUUGAUGCCAUGCUUCCAGGAAAAGCCUCUAAGCUUCAGAUAGUCAGGAAUCGUACCCCAAACCGACACAGGUGGUCGGGUAGAGAAUACCAAGGCGCUUGAGAGAACUCGGGUGAAGGAACUAGGCAAAAUGGUACCGUAACUUCGGGAGAAGGUACGCUCUUGAUGGUGAAGUCCCUCGCGGAUGGAGCUGACGAGAGUCGCAGAUACCAGGUGGCUGCAACUGUUUAUUAAAAACACAGCACUGUGCAAAAUCGCAAGAUGACGUAUACGGUGUGACGCCUGCCCGGUGCCGGAAGGUUAAUUGAU